GCCUAACACAUGCAAGUCGAACGCGCUUUCUUCUUCGCAAGAGGACGAGAGCGAGUGGCGGACGGGUGAGUAUCACGUGGGUACCUCCCUUGAGGUGAGGAAUACCCCCGAGAAAUCGGGGACAAGACCGCAUAUGCUCUCAGCGAGAGCAAAGUCACUUUGGUGACGCCACAAGAUGGGCCUGCGGCUGAUUAGCUGGUUGGUGGGGUAAGAGCCUACCAAGGCGACGAUCAGUAGCUGGUCUGAGAGGAUGAUCAGCCACACUGGGAUUGAGAACGGCCCAGACUCCUACGGGGGGCAGCAGUGAGGAAUUUUCCGCAAUGGACGCAAGUCUGACGGAGCAACGCCGCGUGCAGGACGAAGGUCUUCGGAUCGUAAACUGCUUUUCUUGGGGACGAGUACGGACGGUACCCAAGCAAGAAGCCCCGGCUCACUACGUGCCAGCAGCCGCGGUAAUACGUAGGGGGCAAGCGUUGUCCGGAGUGACUGGGCGUAAAGGGCCCGCAGGCGGUCGUCUGCGUUCGCACUGACAAUUGGUCGCCUAACGACCAAAGGCGUGCGAAAACGAGACGACUUGAGGGAGACAGAGGGGACACGGAAUUCCGGGUGGAGUGGUGAAAUGCGUAGAUAUCCGGAAGAACACCGAUGGCGAAGGCAGUGUCCUGGGUCUUCACUGACGCUCAGGGGCGAAAGCGAGGGGAGCGAACGGGAUUAGAUACCCCGGUAGUCCUCGCCGUAAACGAUGACCACUAGAUGUCCGGGGUAUCGACCCCCUGGGUGUCGUAGCACACGUGAUAAGUGGUCCGCCUGGGGAGUACGGUCGCAAGAUUAAAACUCAAAGGAAUUGACGGGGACCCGCACAAGCAGCGGAGCGUGUGGUUUAAUUCGAUGCAACGCGAAGAACCUUACCAGGCUUUGACAUGCUCUUGAGCACGGUGGAGACACCGCUCCCUUCAGGGCAGGAGCACAGGUGCUGCAUGGCUGUCGUCAGCUCGUGCCGUGAGGUGUUGGGUUAAGUCCCGCAACGAGCGCAACCCUUAUCGCUAGUUAUGUGAUGUCUAGCGAGACUGCCGCGAUCAACGUGGAGGAAGGUGGGGAUGACGUCAAGUCAGCACGGCCCUUACAGCCUGGGCGACACACACGCUACAAUGGCUGGUACAAUGGGGAGCCAACCCGCGAGGGGGAGCCAAUCCUAUCAAAACCAGUCUCAGUUCGGAUUGUAGGCUGCAACCCGCCUGCAUGAAGUUGGAGUUGCUAGUAACCGUGAGUCAGCACAUCACGGUGAAUACGUUCCCGGGUCUUGCACACACUGCCCGUCAC
Molecule: ribosomal RNA, 1320 nt
Filed under: uncultured bacterium
Lineage: Bacteria
Description: bacterial SSU rRNA
Rfam family: Bacterial small subunit ribosomal RNA
Source: RNAcentral